This 301-nucleotide ribosomal RNA is filed under the name uncultured bacterium. RNAcentral describes it as "partial 16S ribosomal RNA". It matches the Rfam family "Bacterial small subunit ribosomal RNA", at positions 509 to 807 of the family's 1533-position model. The record is from RNAcentral.
CAGCAGCCGCGGUAAUACGGAGGGUGCAAGCGUUACUCGGAAUCACUGGGCGUAAAGGACGCGUAGGCGGAUUAUCAAGUCUCUUGUGAAAUCUAACGGCUUAACCGUUAAACUGCUUGGGAAACUGAUAAUCUAGAGUAAGGGAGAGGCAGAUGGAAUUCUUGGUGUAGGGGUAAAAUCCGUAGAGAUCAAGAAGAAUACCCAUUGCGAAAGCGAUCUGCUGGAACUUAACUGACGCUAAUGCGUGAAAGCGUGGGGAGCAGACAGGAUUAGAUACCCCCGUAGUCCCUGUCUCUUAUAC